Molecule: unclassified non-coding RNA, 434 nt
Filed under: Hevea brasiliensis (rubber tree)
Lineage: Eukaryota; Viridiplantae; Streptophyta; Magnoliopsida; Malpighiales; Euphorbiaceae
Source: RNAcentral
GUUGCUUCAAUGAGGGCUACACACAUUUAAGAUGUUUGGACACCAAAUCCAAAACUAUUAUUUUCAGAAAAAUGAGGGAAGAUAUAAAUCAGCAUUUACUUUUAAUCAUCGAGUUCGAGGAUCUUCACUACCGAAGCAUCUCCCACUUUCUGGCAAACAACGACACGGUCGUGCGGCUUUAUGACACCACAAGUCUUGCCAUGAUCGAGCGCAACCUUGAGAACUGACUCAUUGGUCGCACCGGUAGACUCAGCAGGAUGUCUAGGGUCCGCGAGCAUAGGGAAUAGUCCUCUUACGAUAAGAGAUUGUCUAGCUUCAAAAGCACCAAUGAAACGCCAUCGAAGUUGGUUUGUUUUCAGACGAGGAAUCACGACAGAUAGUACAGGCAUGGUAGGUCUGUACUUCGCGAUUAAUCUUGCAGCCCUUCCAGAUGA